AUUAAUGAGGGGAGGAAAAGAAACUAACAAGGAUUUUCUUAGUAGCGGCGAGCGAAAAGAAAUCAGUUCAGCACUAAGUCACUUUAUCUUUAUGGUAAAUGUGAGAUGCAGUGUAUGGAACGUCUAUAAUCUAGUAUGACAAAUUAACGAUUUAAGUCCCUCUCAAAAGAGGCCAUUUACCCAUAGAGGGUGCCAGGCCCGUAUAACGUUAAUGAUUAUUAGAAGAUGUUUCCAAAGAGUCGUGUUGCUUGAUAGUGCAGCACUAAGUGGGUGGUAAACUCCAUCUAAAACUAAAUAUAACCAUGAGACCGAUAGUAAACAAGUACCGUGAGGGAAAGUUGAAAAGAACUCUGAAUAGAGAGUUAAAUAGUACGUGAAACUGCUUAGAGGUUAAGCCCGAUGAACCUGAAUAUUCAUUAUGGAAAAUUCAACAUAUGCCUAUAGUAUAUAAAAAAAUACUAUAGUAAUAUUGUGCAUUUUUUCCAUAUAAGAACAUUGUAAUCUAUUAACAUUAUAUUAUAUAUUUAUCAUAAGAUCAUUGGCUUAAGUUUAUUCAAAUUGAGUUGCUUGCAAUUUAACAUUGAAUAAAAUGCUUAUGAUUUGAUAAAGUGUCGAUAGAUUAAUUAAAUUAGUGCUUAAAUUCAAUAGAAUUUUACAAUUGCAUAAAUUUCUUAUGAUUUUUGUGUAUAUUGUAUGCGCUUAAUUGAUUAACAAUGCGAUAGAUUCAGGAUACCUUCGGGACCCGUCUUGAAACACGGACCAAGGAGUCUAACAUAUGUGCAAGUCAUUGGGAUUAUAUAAUUAAACCCAAAGGCAUAAUUAACUUAACUUUUUUAUAUAAUGGGAUUAGUUUUUAGUCUAUUUUAUUAUAGUCUAUUAAUUCAAUCCCGGGGCGUUCUAUCGGUUAUGUAUAAUAAUAUUUAUAUUAUUUAUACCUCUAACUGGAGCGUACCUUGAGCAAAUAUGCUGUGACCCGAAAGAUGGUGAACUAUACUUGAUCAGGUUGAAGUCAGGGGAAACCCUGAUGGAAGACCGAAACAGUUCUCACGUCCAAAUCGAUUGUCAGAAUUGAGUAUAGGGGCGAAAGACCAACCGAACCAUCUAGUAGCUGUUCCCUC
This 1118-nucleotide ribosomal RNA is filed under the name Dichetophora finlandica. RNAcentral describes it as "eukaryotic LSU rRNA". It matches the Rfam family "Eukaryotic large subunit ribosomal RNA", at positions 42 to 961 of the family's 3401-position model. The record is from RNAcentral. Lineage: Eukaryota; Metazoa; Arthropoda; Insecta; Diptera; Sciomyzidae.